UCCGUAUGAGUCUAUUGCUUUGUAUCUUCUAACAAGGAGAUACUACUUAGGCUUUCAAGAUCCAGUUGAGAUUCUAGUUCUUAUACUCAAUCAUACACAUGACAUAU
RNAcentral lists this small RNA (107 nucleotides) under Arabidopsis thaliana (thale cress). RNAcentral's name for it is "ATSL199410". The record is from RNAcentral. Lineage: Eukaryota; Viridiplantae; Streptophyta; Magnoliopsida; Brassicales; Brassicaceae.